RNAcentral lists this long non-coding RNA (214 nucleotides) under Lathyrus oleraceus (garden pea). RNAcentral's name for it is "Pisum sativum (pea) long non-coding RNA (PSAT_LNC017968)". The record is from RNAcentral. Lineage: Eukaryota; Viridiplantae; Streptophyta; Magnoliopsida; Fabales; Fabaceae.
UGGGUUCCAGAUGACUUUGAUUUGUGCUCUCCGGUUCCGAAUUCAUGCCGAAGUUCUGAACCUCUGCCUCGUGAUACACAGCCAAAGUCCUGUUUGCAUCAUUUGCAUCAUAGCAUGUUUAUUUUCAAAAAUAAUGCAAUAAAUAAAAAAAAUGAAAAAGAAAAGGGAAAAGAAAAAAACUAAUCUCCUCAUGCAUAUCAUUUCUCAGGUUCAU